Molecule: ribosomal RNA, 545 nt
Filed under: uncultured Alphaproteobacteria bacterium
Lineage: Bacteria; Pseudomonadati; Pseudomonadota; Alphaproteobacteria
Description: partial 16S ribosomal RNA
Source: RNAcentral
GGGAGCUCUCCCAUAUGGUCGACCUGCAGGCGGCCGCGAAUUCACUAGUGAUUCGUAUUACCGCGGCUGCUGGCACGGAGUUAGCCGGAGCUUAUUCUCCCGGUACUGUCAUUAUCAUCCCGGGUAAAAGAGCUUUACAACCCUAAGGCCUUCAUCACUCACGCGGCAUUGCUGGAUCAGGCUUUCGCCCAUUGUCCAAUAUUCCCCACUGCUGCCUCCCGUAGGAGUCUGGGCCGUGUCUCAGUCCCAGUGUGGCUGAUCAUCCUCUCAGACCAGCUAAGGAUCGUCGCCUUGGUGCGCCUUUACCACACCAACUAGCUAAUCCUACGCGGGCUCAUCCCUUGCCGAUAAAUCUUUGGUCCGAAGACAUCAUCCGGUAUUAGCAGUCAUUUCUAACUGUUAUUCCGAAGCAAAGGGCAGAUUCCCACGCGUUACGCACCCGUGCGCCACUAACCCCGAAGGGUUCGUUCGACUUGCAUGUGUUAGGCAUGCCGCCAGCGUUCGUUCUGAGCCAUGAUCAAACUCUAAUCGAAUUCCCGCGGCCG